RNAcentral lists this non-coding RNA (90 nucleotides) under Cellulomonas cellasea. RNAcentral's name for it is "ZTP sequence". It matches the Rfam family "ZMP/ZTP riboswitch aptamer (pfl RNA motif)". From Rfam's summary of the family: Previously known as pfl RNA. ZMP is also known as AICAR. Lineage: Bacteria; Bacillati; Actinomycetota; Actinomycetes; Micrococcales; Cellulomonadaceae. RNAcentral also lists the same sequence under 1 other name. The record is from RNAcentral.
UGUGCGCGUCGCGACUGGCGCAACGGGUGGGUCACCACCGGGGAGCGACGAGCAGCAGCAGACUUCGGGUCGGACGCCUGGGCCCCCGGU